UCGGUGACUAUACAUGUACGUAAUGUCGUUGUCAGUCGUUCUUCUUUAUAACUCUGUUGGAGCAGUGUUUGUGUAAGUAGCAUACCCUUGACUAUACUGCUUUAUAUCGGUGACUAUACGGAAUGUUGAUCUCAGUCGUUCUUCUUUAUAACUCUGUUGGAGAGGUGUUUGUGUAAGUAGUAUAUCCUUGACUAUACUGCUUUAUAUCGGUGACUUUACGGAAUGUUGAGAAGUUAAGGUAUCCAAUAUAAAGACGGAAGAUUUUCAUCGUUCUUUUUUUAUAAUUAUAUUACCGAAUGGAUGGAUUCAUAUUUAUAACAUCACGCCUAAUGUUUUUUUUUUUUGUUGUUUUUUUUUUGUAAAUGUACGGUUACAUCACUUUGUUUAAAG
RNAcentral lists this long non-coding RNA (390 nucleotides) under Mytilus galloprovincialis (Mediterranean mussel). The record is from RNAcentral. Lineage: Eukaryota; Metazoa; Mollusca; Bivalvia; Mytilida; Mytilidae.